This is a non-coding RNA of Nicotiana tabacum (common tobacco), 632 nucleotides long. The record is from RefSeq and is a predicted model, not a curated record. Lineage: Eukaryota; Viridiplantae; Streptophyta; Magnoliopsida; Solanales; Solanaceae.
CUGCCCCCUUUCCCAAAGCUCUCUCCUUUAUCUCAUCCACUCAACACCCAUCAAUCCCAAAUCCUUGCAAGGUCACAAAAUUAAACCUCACACCACUCAAUCUCUCUCUUACACCAACGAAUCUCGCCGGAUUAUUUCCUCUUUCAUCAUUUGAUUCGAAAUUUCCAAAUCUGAAACCCUAGGCUCAAAGAGGAAAUCGUCUGAUUUCUUCUUUGCCCUUUCUAAUCAAGCAUGCAUGGCAAUCCAUCUUGUCCCUAUACCGUGAAUCCUAUUUUUUUCAUUCCAUUUCCAUCGAUAAAAUUCAUAAGCCCCAAUUUGAAAACCCUAGACCCAAAAAUAAAACCUCAAAUCGUCUGAGUCCCUCUUAUGUUCUUUCAAAUCGGAGGCAUGCAUGAAGGUUUCACAGGCUUCAUCAUUGUUAUUCGAUAUCUAGAGGUCAAACGCAGUGACCUAUAGUCACUGAAGCUUUAACCGAUGGUCUUUCGAUUCAACGGUCGAUUUCUUUUCUCAAAGUUCGUUUAUUGUUCGGGCUUGAGUUUGGAUUCCUAAACGGCUAAACGAAGCUUUUGUUUGGUUUGCUGCUCCGUAGAAGGGUACUGUAUCUUCAAUGGAUGCAGGUGGUUCGUCCGCGG